UGCUUUAAGUCACUAGGUAUGUUACGUGGGUUUGUCUUCCUUAGGGUGGAGUUAGUGGAACCGAAAAAGAUGUCUCCCUCACAGCGUUUGUGACAAAAGAAUUGCAUCGUUCCUUGGCGGCCUUUCAACAGAAGAAUAUUCAGAGAUUUCACGAGUGUUGAUUUCCCAAAGUGGAGCAUCUCACAUUUAAUGGAUUAAAAUCCACUUGCCGUUUCUGCAACUGAUCUGGAGGCAACACACAGCCCUGGUAUCUCAAAUGUGGCUACAGAAACUAUGCCCCCAACGAAUGAGUCUCCAACCACGAUCACUCACUUGGAUUUACCUGACCCUGUCCCACAGCAGGGCGGUUUGUACAACGGACCUGGCUACUGCUGAUUAUAUAACCGUUCCAGUUUGGUUUUAGAUCAGUGUUAACCUUGAUGAAGUGGAUAGCCAAGCACCUCAGUGGUCUACAGUACAGGAGAAAUAAAUUCUGAAGCUCACGGAUUCUGUGACAGUCAAAGACAAGCACUGAAUUGUUCUAACCUCAUUUCCAACACCUGGCCCAUAGCCUUGCAUGGCUUGGAUAACACUUGCACAUUUAAAAAAAAUGUAAGGAUGAUGGUAAGGACAUGGAAUUUUGUGAUAUGGUCAUAUUCUCUCUUGUUGGAGCUGAUUGCUGCUUAGCACUUGUAUGGUGCAAAUGUUACUUAUCCUUUGUCAGGCCAAGCCUGAUAAUUGUCCAAGUCUCACUGUAUUUUCUCAUCGUUGACUUCACUGUUGGAAAAGUCAUGAAUUCUGCUGGACACCUGGACAAUAUUCAAUGAACAUUCAUGUCUCCACUUUGGUUCAAGUGAAGACAUGACUUCAACCAGUGCAGGUAUCCAGUGAAUGCCACUGACUCAACUUCCUAUAACUCUGCUGAACACCACAUUCAAUCAGAAGUUGCCUUGGUGGAAAUGACAGAUUGCAGUUUCCUUCCUUUUCAAGCUCAGGAUCUCUGAUCAUAUUUGUGGUAAAUCCUGAAUGAGGUUGCGAGAA
Long non-coding RNA from Stegostoma tigrinum, 1020 nucleotides. RefSeq lists it as uncharacterized. The record is from RefSeq and is a predicted model, not a curated record. The transcript has 3 exons. Lineage: Eukaryota; Metazoa; Chordata; Chondrichthyes; Orectolobiformes; Stegostomatidae.